RNAcentral lists this ribosomal RNA (372 nucleotides) under uncultured organism. RNAcentral's name for it is "partial 16S ribosomal RNA". It matches the Rfam family "Bacterial small subunit ribosomal RNA", at positions 527 to 896 of the family's 1533-position model. The record is from RNAcentral.
GUAGGUGGCAAGCGUUGUCCGGAAUUAUUGGGCGUAAAGCGCGCGCAGGCGGUCCUUUAAGUCUGAUGUGAAAGCCCACGGCUCAACCGUGGAGGAUCAUUGGAAACUGGGGGACUUGAGUACAGAAGAGGAAAGCGGAAUUCCAAGUGUAGCGGUGAAAUGCGUAGAGAUUUGGAGGAACACCAGUGGCGAAGGCGGCUUUCUGGUCUGUAACUGACGCUGAGGCGCGAAAGCGUGGGGAGCAAACAGGGAUUAGAUACCCUGGUAGUCCACGCCGUAAACGAUGAGUGCUAAGUGUUAGGGGGUUUCCCGCCCCUUAGUGCUGCAGCUAACGCAUUAAGCACUCCGCCUGGGGAUACGGCCGCAAGGCUG